This 335-nucleotide unclassified non-coding RNA is filed under the name uncultured fungus. RNAcentral's name for it is "partial contains 5.8S ribosomal RNA and internal transcribed spacer 2". The stretch from base 1 to 133 matches the Rfam family "5.8S ribosomal RNA", at positions 22 to 154 of the family's 154-position model. Lineage: Eukaryota; Fungi. The record is from RNAcentral.
UGGUUCCGGCAUCGAUGAAGAACGCAGCGAAAUGCGAUAACUAAUGUGAAUUGCAGAAUUCAGUGAAUCAUCGAGUCUUUGAACGCACAUUGCGCCCCCUGGUAUUCCGGGGGGCAUGCCUGUCCGAGCGUCAUUGCUGCCCUCAAGCACGGCUUGUGUGUUGGGCCCCCGUCCCCGGUUUCCCGGGGACGGGCCCGAAAGGCAGCGGCGGCACCGCGUCCGGUCCUCGAGCGUAUGGGGCUUUGUCACCCGCUCUUGUAGGGCCGGCCGGCGCCUGUCGACACCAACCCAAUUUUUCUAAGGUUGACCUCGGAUCAGGUAGGGAUACCCGCUGA